RNAcentral lists this small nuclear RNA (18 nucleotides) under Arabidopsis thaliana (thale cress). RNAcentral's name for it is "snRNA_13837". Lineage: Eukaryota; Viridiplantae; Streptophyta; Magnoliopsida; Brassicales; Brassicaceae. The record is from RNAcentral.
UCAGUGAUGAAAUUAUGU